UACGUAGGGUGCGAGCGUUAAUCGGAAUUACUGGGCGUAAAGGGCUCGUAGGCGGCCAACUAAGUCAGACGUGAAAUCCCUCGGCUUAACCGGGGAACUGCGUCUGAUACUGGAUGGCUUGAAUCCGGGAGAGGGAUGCGGAAUUCCAGGUGUAGCGGUGAAAUGCGUAGAUAUCUGGAGGAACACCGGUGGCGAAGGCGGCAUCCUGGACCGGCAUUGACGCUGAGGAGCGAAAGCCAGGGGAGCAAACGGG
Molecule: ribosomal RNA, 253 nt
Filed under: uncultured bacterium
Lineage: Bacteria
Description: partial 16S ribosomal RNA
Rfam family: Bacterial small subunit ribosomal RNA
Source: RNAcentral